Molecule: non-coding RNA, 96 nt
Organism: Phyllosticta citriasiana
Lineage: Eukaryota; Fungi; Ascomycota; Dothideomycetes; Botryosphaeriales; Phyllostictaceae
Source: the annotation of a GenBank genome assembly
AGUCCUAUGGUCUAGUGGUAUGACGUUCGCUUCACAGAACUUUCAAAAGUGUUCGAGAAGCGCGAAAGGUCCCGAGUUCGAUCCUCGGUGGGACUA